GCUUCAUGCCCCGUUGGGCGUUUCCUCCCUUGACUUGGGCCGCUCGCAGCAGUGCGGGCGGCCCCUUUAUUGCCCACC
RNAcentral lists this small RNA (78 nucleotides) under Methylocapsa palsarum. Its description in RNAcentral is "Makes More Granules Regulator RNA (mmgR)". It matches the Rfam family "Makes More Granules Regulator RNA (mmgR)". From Rfam's summary of the family: SuhB later renamed mmgR (makes more granules regulator) was a putative non-coding RNA found multiple times in the Agrobacterium tumefaciens genome and related alpha-proteobacteria. Other non-coding RNAs uncovered in the same analysis include: speF, ybhL, metA, and serC. Lineage: Bacteria; Pseudomonadati; Pseudomonadota; Alphaproteobacteria; Hyphomicrobiales; Beijerinckiaceae. The record is from Rfam by way of RNAcentral.